AUCAGUCAAAACCAGAUGCUCUGAUACGCUGCCAUCCAGACAUUCUCCUUUUAGCAUCAGGCAAAUUGGAAUCACUACUCUUUGGAGCAUGAGUCCAUUCUGGGUCUACUUGUCCAGAUGCAGGCUCUUGGUUACUGGUUCCCCAACAUGGGGAGGCGCCAUCACGCUGGGAACAUGGACUCCUUGGUCCCGCCUACCACCAGCCGGGGCUUUGUGCCAAUGUCCUGAGUGUGGGUGAAGGGGAAGGCCUCUGAGGAGGUGUGAGCCGGUGAUAACAGUCCAGCAGGUGGAUGGGAGACCCCUGAGUCAAC
Molecule: long non-coding RNA, 311 nt
Filed under: Sus scrofa (pig)
Lineage: Eukaryota; Metazoa; Chordata; Mammalia; Artiodactyla; Suidae
Description: lncRNA (ENSSSCG00025073422.1)
Source: RNAcentral